This 254-nucleotide ribosomal RNA is filed under the name uncultured bacterium. RNAcentral describes it as "partial 16S ribosomal RNA". It matches the Rfam family "Bacterial small subunit ribosomal RNA", at positions 524 to 776 of the family's 1533-position model. The record is from RNAcentral.
GACGAACCGUGCGAACGUUAUUCGGAAUCACUGGGCUUAAAGCGCGUGUAGGCGGGGCGGCACGUCGGUCGCUGAAAGCCCCCGGCUCAACCGGGGAACGGGCGCCGAUACGACCGCCCUCGAGGAACGUAGGGGGACCUGGAACUUCCGGUGGAGCGGUGAAAUGCGUAGAUAUCGCUUGGAACGCCAGUGGUGAAAACGGGUCGCUGGGGACAUGCUGACGCUGAGACACGAAAGCCAGGGGAGCGAACGGG